AAAUAAGAAGCAUAAUUGCAUUCAGUUUCGACCUGAAAGUAAGAUUUUUUAAUCCUUAUUUA
RNAcentral lists this transfer RNA (62 nucleotides) under Polionemobius taprobanensis. Its description in RNAcentral is "tRNA-Arg". The record is from RNAcentral. Lineage: Eukaryota; Metazoa; Arthropoda; Insecta; Orthoptera; Trigonidiidae.